Nicotiana tabacum (common tobacco) is the source of this 1488-nucleotide long non-coding RNA. RefSeq lists it as uncharacterized. The record is from RefSeq and is a predicted model, not a curated record. Lineage: Eukaryota; Viridiplantae; Streptophyta; Magnoliopsida; Solanales; Solanaceae.
UGAGACCGUAUUUUUUAAUUUCGUUCGCAGGGAAAGAAUAAAGCUUGGGCUCUAGCAACCCAUUUUUAGGCCUAAUUUUGGACCUAGCCCAUAAUUUCCAAGCCCAGAAUUCCUAGGCCCAUACCCCUUAACCUAAAAACCCUACAACUAUCUAGACCUAGACUCUACAAUAUAAGAAGGACCUAACGAAAAUCUGAGAAAAAAUAAUGCUGAAAACGGACUGGGAAAAGUUGCGCAACCUUUCACAAGAGCCCCACCCCCGUCAUCGUCUUCUUCGAACCACCCCACACCCAAACGACCCCCUGAACGUCUUCUUCUUCUUCAUGAAGAACAAAGAAAGAAGACAUCAGAACCGAACAGGGUGAGAAGUCAGUUGUUUCUCUUGGAUUUUUGGACUGAACCUAGAUACACAAACGACCCCUGAUAUCAUCUCCUUCACCCCCGCCAGCCACGCCGCCAGUCCGAUGGAAAACACAGUUCCCAUCCAUCGAGCAACCCAUCUUUUUCCUCAGCUGAAAGACCAGACCCUCAUGAGUUUCUUCUUCAUGAAGAUCUAACAAAAACCAGAGAACACAAAAAGAACCCUACGUGAGCUUGAGCCAUUUUUAACAGAGAAAGGACCUUUCAGCUUCUGUUUCUUCCCGUUAACAAAACUCGCCAAAAACCUUGAACACCAGCUGAUGUUCUCUUCGUCUUCCUCCUCCAGCAGCUCGCCUGAAAAACGAGCUCCAGCCGAAAACCAGAACACACCAUCAACAACCACCAACGAGUCCAGCCGUGAAUCCCGUUCGUGAAUCCCAGUUUACUGCCUUGCAAAAGUUUCUGAAGCAUCCCUUUCUUCUACUGGAUAGCAGUUGCUUUGAGUUUCGAUGUAGAGUUUUCCGGCGCCAAUUUGAGGUUCCGGUUCGUAGUUUUGGCAUUUCAGUCCGCCGAUCGUGGCUCUGUUUGGUAUGACGAGUGAUAUUGUAAAUCUCCAACUUUGUUUAUCAACAUAGAGCUAUUUUGAAUUCAUUUCUAGAUCCAUCAAGGACAAUGUGUUCUCUCAAGUGCAAACGUUUUGCUGCUUCUAACUCCUUGGAAUGGGAAACAAUUCAUUUUUUUUAUCUAAAAGAAAUCUGAGUGUUUUUGAAUCUAUUAAUUAAUUCAUAAAGUGGUUUCAUGGAAUUGAAGAAAUCAAACAGGGUUUCGUGGGCUAUUGGACUUAAUCUUUGUCAGCGUAAACAAUGAUUAAAGUGUGGGUUUGAAUCCGUGUUUGUUGAGUUUCCGGUGCUAAUUCGGAUUCCGUCUGCGGUUCGACACAAUUUGAGUGUUAACAUUGAAACAACUGAUUUUCCGGCUAUAUCGAGGUAUUUUCUUAUCCCCUUUGCUAACAAAUGAAGUGCCACAAGUUGGAGCCAGACUGAAUUUGUAUGCAGAUUUGGAUGUUCAAAUUGGAAUUCGAAUAGAAAUCUUGUUUAGAUAUUAGAUUCUAUUAGCUUCUGCUGUUUA